Molecule: long non-coding RNA, 615 nt
Organism: Acipenser ruthenus (sterlet)
Lineage: Eukaryota; Metazoa; Chordata; Actinopteri; Acipenseriformes; Acipenseridae
Exons: 3
Source: RefSeq, a predicted model, not a curated record
CCAAACACAGAGGAGAAAUGUUGACAUUGAGGUGAUGGGUCAGUUUAAUCGAAACACAGGCGAUGAAGCCAGCUGUUCCACCCUGCCCAACACGGGUUGUAGUAACGCUAUAUACAACCUCCGUCGCAAUUUUGGUUGCAAAAGACGAGGAUUGGGACAGGGUUAUAGUUCGAGUUCCGCAUUGAAGAACAACAGCCGGGAAAGUCCAACGUUUAGUAAAGAACUGGUUCUCCUUCCCGAUAAUACAUUAUCACAUGUCCCAAGACGCGGCAUGAAAGCUAUGCUUUUUGAACACGGGCACGUGGUUUCAGCACUGGAAUUUAACGUCAGCUGGGAUGAGCAGGCAGUAUUCCAAUCAAUCAAGAACGCAUUCUCUGAAAAACUGAGUUCCUGCAGAAUUGAAAUUCUACUAGGAUGCCAUAAUAAACUCGUGAAACCAUCUUUAACACCUGGGCAAAAACUAAAUGGACACAUGCUUAAAAAGAUCUUUACCCAAAGGUCAAUUUAUGUCCGACCUGACAGGGUUCUUUUAGAACUUGGAGGAAAACGGGUAAGUAUUGGAUUUAUCUAAAUAAAUAGUUAAUCUCACUUUCAACCAAAGAGGUCUUUAGACAU